RNAcentral lists this ribosomal RNA (459 nucleotides) under uncultured bacterium. RNAcentral's name for it is "partial 16S ribosomal RNA". It matches the Rfam family "Bacterial small subunit ribosomal RNA", at positions 338 to 795 of the family's 1533-position model. The record is from RNAcentral.
CCUACGGGGGGCAGCAGUGAGGAAUAUUGGUCAAUGGUCGGAAGCCUGAACCAGCCAAGUCGCGUGCGGGAUGACGGCCCUGCGUAUUGUAAACUGCUUUUGUCCGGGAAUAACGCGCCUUACGUGUCGGUCUUUGCAUGUACCGUAUGAAUAAGGACCGGCUAAUUCCGUGCCAGCAGCCGCGGUAAUCCGGAAGGUCCGUGCGUUAUCCGGAUUUAUUGGGUUUAAAGGGUGCGUCGGCGGACCGUAAAGUCAGCGGUAAAAAUGCGGUGCUCAACCCCGUACAGCCGUUGAAACUGGCAGGCUCGAGUGGGAGAGAAGUAUGCGGAAUGCGUGGUGUAGCGGUGAAAUGCAUAGAUAUCACGCAGAACUCCGAUUGCGAAGGCAGCAUACCGGCGCCAGACUGACGCUGAGGCACGAAAGCGUGGGUAUCGAACAGGAUUAGAUACCCCAGUAGUC